RNAcentral lists this long non-coding RNA (981 nucleotides) under Parus major (Great Tit). RNAcentral's name for it is "lncRNA (ENSPMJG00000017810.1)". Lineage: Eukaryota; Metazoa; Chordata; Aves; Passeriformes; Paridae. The record is from RNAcentral.
GAAAAGUUCUUUGUGGGAGCGAGGAGUGGGAUGGCAAUGAGCAGCUCCAGGGGCUGAGGAGGAGAUUUUGCUCUCCAGAACCAGGGGAACAGGAGCUUCAGGAGAUGAAAACUCAAUUUUGAGGACACAUUUUAAGUAAUGAAUGCAGUGGAGUGGAACAGCGACACCAAAAGGGUCAAGCUGGAGGCUGUUCAGGUGGAAUGAAAGGGAAUGUGAGCCCCUGCUCUGCUCACGGUCCUGGCAGGAAUUCUGCAGCAAUUCGCUGCAGAUCAGCGAGGAUUCAUCAAAGUUGUAUCAAGUUGAAAGAGUGCCCAAGGGUGCUGCCUGGGAGCUCCAGCAGCUUUUUCUGCACAAAACAACUCUCUCUGCCCUUUGCUUUUCUAAUCCCAAACUAGCCUGGGGCUCCGGUUCACCUUCUGGAGGAGCAGCUCCGCCACCUUCCCAAGGGCUGCUGCGGAGAGAGGAUUUUAAAUUCCAGCAGGAUGAAAGGAAGCGGUGCAGGGGCUCCUCCAGGCCAGGACAGGGGGGUUUUGUGCCCACCCUGCAGGGGACACCCGGGUCAGGCUGUCCUGCCUCAAGUUGUGACCCUUUUUCUGUUCCGUGCUGUUCAGGCUGGGAUUGUUUCCCCCUGUGCGGGGUGAAGAUCUGCUGGGAGUUUUUGUUUGACAACAGCUUUUGCUGGCAGCAAAGAGAAACAUUCUCUAUUUCACAUGUUUUUAUGGCUUUUCAUUCCCUUUUCCACCCAUGCAAAGGCCUUUCCCAGGUAAACUCCAGUGGCUGUAAUCUCCAUUCCUCUUAGAGUUUGAGAAGUGGGAAGGAGGAGGAAUAUUGGCAGUUCUGAUGGCAGGGGUUCUGCCAGCCCCAGGUGAGGAGGCAGAGGAGCAGAUGGAGGAAUUUAAAAUUCUGUGCAGCACAAAGACCUUGAAAUAACGAAAGGGAAAAAAAAAAAAAAUAAAAUCAAAAUGCAAACUGACUCCUCCA